Molecule: long non-coding RNA, 340 nt
Filed under: Phoenix dactylifera (date palm)
Lineage: Eukaryota; Viridiplantae; Streptophyta; Magnoliopsida; Arecales; Arecaceae
Description: long non-coding RNA (PDAC_LNC013195)
Source: RNAcentral
CCUCUAAAGCUAUAAAAUUAAGAGGAGAGCUAGGGAAGAGGGUAUGGAAGUGGGAGAGAACAUUUAGGAAAGAGAUUUCAAAGAGAUUACAAGAGAAAUCUCUCAUAAGCACAAAAGGGCCAUCCAAAGCGAAAUAGAGAGAAGAAGAGCAUCCAAGUGAAUCCCAAAGCUUCCUCUCCAUCCGUGUGCUGCCUCAAUGAUCCUCUACCUCGUGCCAAAUCAGAAGAGGGUCAAGUAAAGAAGAAGCCGAGUGCCUUCAUCUUCAAAAUUCGUUUGAGAGCUUCUCUUUACUCCAUUUGUUUAUAUUUGAUAUAUUUGCUUAGUUAAGAAGCUUGUAUUU